ACCCGCCAGCCCCGCGCUCUACCAGGCAGAGCGCGUGUGGCCGCCGAGCACAUGGACCCACUGGUCAAGCGGGCUCGGCAAGGCCAGGAUGAAGAGAAGCUACGAACUUAGCAUUCCCAGAGCCCCCCGAGUGGAUAUCCGCGUGGAAAGGAUGUUGGCAGCCCCGGUGACCUCGGAGUCACGGCUGGAUCCACCCUCUUGUCUGAUUUUCUUAACUCUACUACGGUAAGAAGAUGCCCUCCAUCAGCAGGCCGUGUCUGCUGGGACCUCUCUGGAGACUUCCUGAACCCUGUGGAUUUACAGUAAGAUGCAGUUUCCUGGGGAGUAAUUCUGGUGGAUACAAAUUCCGGAGUAUUACACCUGGCUUGCCUGGAGAUGUUACAAGUAGCUGGAUGGAUUCUUCAGCCUGGAUGCCCACUGAAAACAAGGACCGAAACUAAGAGGAUUGUAUCUCUACCCUUGACUCAAUGAGAAUGUUUGUUGUCAUCUCUCGGGCUACCUGGAGCUCCCUCUAAAAUGGGCUGGGACACUGCCUGAUUGAGGUGGCCAUUGAGAAUUCAAGUGUACCUCUUGGUCCCUGAUGCAGAAAUGAAGUCCCCAGCAUGCUCAAGAAGAGCUUCCUUGGAGGAUGAGAGGCAUGGGAAUCUAAGUAUACCCUUUAAGCGUUCCAGAAGGAUUUUGAGAUCCUUUCCUAAAUCAAAGGUGGAAUAUUUGGGGAUUUGGAAAAUUGAGCAUUUUUUUCCCCACUUGCUUGACUGUAAUGCUAACAUGCUCUCUCUGCUCCAACCUGGAGAAGCCAGUCUCUCAGAAGAACCAGUUGUGUUACUUUGCUGUGAGAUGCCUGCCCUAAGAGAGGAGCAGAAGGUCGGAACGGGUCCUCUAAUGUGAUAAUUAGAUGUGAAGCGUUGACUUAAGAGAUGCCAAGUAACUCAGCAGAUGUCACACAGACGAUAAAUAGCAAAGAUGGAAGUCUUCAUGCCGGAGGCAAUCCUAUAAGACAGCUGAGUUCUGCAGAGCUGGUAGGAGACAGACUUGCUCAGGUGAUAGAUCCAGCCAUGAUACUGACCCUAAGAGAAUGAGACGCUCUGCAGAAGACAGAAGAUUCCUGAAACUGGGAAAGGUGCCUAGAAAUCCUGAUAAGAGUGAAGAAGGAGCUGGCAGAGCAGCCUUCCUCCGCACUAUGAAAGACAUCCAACAGAGAGCAAGUUCCCACCUCACUUCCAGCUUGACUCCUUUUUAUCUCCUAACUGUGGUCUGUGAUGUCUUCAGCAAUGGUAUUAACUAGUUCUGGGUACCUGGAGGCACAGCAGCCAUGUUGAACCUAUGAGGUGAUGAAAAACCAUGCAACUAGAAACCAGAAUGGAAGAAAAGAAGAAGCUGGAUCCUUGACUGAAUUGUCGAUGGGGGAUAGUCCAUCAUCCCAGGGCUAAGACCACCUCCAGAUUUCUUGUUUGGUGAAACAAGUCCUGAUUGUUUACAUUCCCUCGUGUUGAGCUGUCUCUUGCUUGUAGCUGAAAGCAUUUCUAAUAGAUAUUCAGAUUAUCAGCCUUAGCUCCAAGCUAGAAUACUCUAUGGGACCUUAGCUUCUCCAUGAAUUCCUUUGCUCAUCUGUGUAAUGCUCAAUAAAUGUAAAUUGAACCCUGAAUGAGGGACAAUGACA
This 1660-nucleotide long non-coding RNA is filed under the name Mus musculus (house mouse). RNAcentral describes it as "Pvt1 oncogene". The stretch from base 44 to 200 matches the Rfam family "Pvt1 oncogene conserved region 1". The record is from RNAcentral. Lineage: Eukaryota; Metazoa; Chordata; Mammalia; Rodentia; Muridae.